GAGCUGAAACUCCCACUGGCUUCCCUGGGAAUCAUCUCUCCCAGCAGGGUUCUGUGUUCUCACAAAUAUUUGCAUCUGCAGCAAGAGUUCUCAGUGGGUUGGCCAGCUUGCUGAGAGGCCUGACUUUGGCAGCCACCCAAACCCAAUCCUCCCAGACCCAGUCCUGCAGAGAAACAUCUCUGGUCUCUGUCACCGAGGAAAGUGGUGGAAGCCACAAGGCCCUUACUGCUGGUGUUUGCGCCAAAAAGGGAAAAUGCUGCCAGAAGGCUGUCCUGUGUGAACAGUGGCAAUGGCCUAAGGAGAAGGUAGCAAAAGAUGAUGUUGACAUAUGCUAGUUUUAAAUGAAUUAAAGAUGAACUCAUAUUUUCUGGUAGAGUGUUUCUGUGGAACAGUGAAAGAAAUUGAAU
Molecule: long non-coding RNA, 407 nt
Organism: Rhea pennata
Lineage: Eukaryota; Metazoa; Chordata; Aves; Rheiformes; Rheidae
Exons: 3
Source: RefSeq, a predicted model, not a curated record